GACGAACGCUGGCGGCGUGCUUAACACAUGCAAGUCGAACGGAAAGGCCCUGCUUUUGUGGGGUGCUCGAGUGGCGAACGGGUGAGUAACACGUGAGUAACCUGCCCUUGACUUUGGGAUAACUUCAGGAAACUGGGGCUAAUACCGGAUAGGAGCUCCUGCUGCAUGGUGGGGGUUGGAAAGUUUCGGCGGUUGGGGAUGGACUCGCGGCUUAUCAGCUUGUUGGUGGGGUAGUGGCUUACCAAGGCUUUGACGGGUAGCCGGCCUGAGAGGGUGACCGGCCACAUUGGGACUGGGAUAGGGCCCAGACUCCUACGGGAGGCAGGAGUGGGGAAUAUUGCACAAUGGGCGGAAGCCUGAUGCAGCAACGCCGCGUGCGGGAUGACGGCCUUCGGGUUGUAAACCGCUUUCGCCUGUGACGAAGCGUGAGUGACGGUAAUGGGUAAAGAAGCACCGGCUAACUACGUG
Molecule: ribosomal RNA, 468 nt
Filed under: uncultured bacterium
Lineage: Bacteria
Description: partial 16S ribosomal RNA
Rfam family: Bacterial small subunit ribosomal RNA
Source: RNAcentral